RNAcentral lists this ribosomal RNA (528 nucleotides) under uncultured fungus. RNAcentral describes it as "SSU rRNA". It matches the Rfam family "Eukaryotic small subunit ribosomal RNA", at positions 288 to 822 of the family's 1831-position model. The record is from RNAcentral. Lineage: Eukaryota; Fungi.
CGAUGGUUCAUUCAAAUUUCUGCCCUAUCAACUUUCGAUGGUAGAGUAGUGGUCUACCAUGGUUUCAACGGGUAACGGGGGAAUUAGGGUUCUAUUCCGGAGAGGGAGCCCGAGAAACGGUACCACAUCCAAGGAAGGCAGCAGGCGCGCAAAUUACCCAAUCCCGACACGGGGAGGUAGUGACAAUAAAUACUGAUACAGGGCUCUUUUGGGUCUUGUAAUUGGAAUGAGUACAAUUUAAAUCCCUUAACGAGGAACAAUUGGAGGGCAAGUCUGGUGCCAGCAGCCGCGGUAAUUCCAGCUCCAAUAGCGUAUAUUAAAGUUGUUGCAGUUAAAAAGCUCGUAGUUGAACCUUGGGCCUGGCUGGCCGGUCCGCCUCACCGCGUGCACUGGUCCGGCCGGGCCUUUCCUUCUGGGGAGCCGCAUGCCCUUCACUGGGCGUGUCGGGGAACCAGGACUUUUACUUUGAAAAAAUUAGAGUGUUCAAAGCAGGCCUAUGCUCGAAUACAUUAGCAUGGAAUAAUAGAA